AGGGUUUGAUCCUGGCUCAGAAUGAACGCUGGCGGCGUGCUUUACACAUGCAAGUUGAGCGAGGCCACCCGCAAGGGUGAGUCGAGCGGCGAACGGGUGAGUAACGCGUGAAUGACCUGCCCUUGAGUGGGGAAUAACCCGGGGAAACUCGGGCUAAUACCGCAUACGACCGAGAGGUGAAAGCGGGGUCGCAAGAUCUCGUGCCCAAGGAGGGGUCCGCGUUCGAUUAGCUAGUUGGUAGGGUAAUGGCCUACCAAGGCGACGAUCGAUAGCCGGCCUGAGAGGGUGAUCGGCCACACUGGAACUGAGACACGGUCCAGACUCCUACGGGAGGCAGCAGUGGGGAAUUUUGCGCAAUGGGCUAACGCCUGACGCAGCAACGCCGCGUGGAGGAUGAAGGUCUUUGGAUUGUAAACUCCUGUCAGCAGGGAAAAAGGGAUAGGGCCUAAUACGUCUUAAACUUGAUUGUACCUGCAGAGGAAGCCCCGGCUAACUCUGUGCCAGCAGCCGCGGUAAUACAGAGGGGGCAAGCGUUAUUCGGAAUUAUUGGGCGUAAAGGGCGCGUAGGCGGCUUUUCAAGUGACGGGUGAAAUCCCUCGGCUUAACCGAGGAACUGCCUGUCAGACUGGAAGGCUUGAGACCGGGAGAGGUGAGUGGAAUUCCCAGUGUAGCGGUGAAAUGCGUAGAUAUUGGGAGGAACACCAGUGGCGAAGGCGGCUCACUGGACCGGAACUGACGCUGAGGCGCGAAAGCGUGGGGGGCAAACAGGAUUAGAUACCCUGGUAGUCCACGCCGUAAACGAUGAGUGCUUGGUGUAGCGGGUAUCGACCCCUGCUGUGCCGAAGUCAACACAUUAAGCACUCCGCCUGGGGAGUACGGUCGCAAGACUGAAACUCAAAGGAAUUGACGGGGGCCCGCACAAGCGGUG
RNAcentral lists this ribosomal RNA (928 nucleotides) under uncultured Acidobacteriota bacterium. Its description in RNAcentral is "bacterial SSU rRNA". It matches the Rfam family "Bacterial small subunit ribosomal RNA", at positions 8 to 934 of the family's 1533-position model. The record is from RNAcentral. Lineage: Bacteria; Pseudomonadati; Acidobacteriota.